AAGAUUCUAGUAUAACAAAUACAUGACCCUGUCAACAUCAAAAUAUAGAAACCCCUAUGGAUCUUA
This 66-nucleotide transfer RNA is filed under the name Calotes emma. RNAcentral describes it as "tRNA-Asp". Lineage: Eukaryota; Metazoa; Chordata; Lepidosauria; Squamata; Agamidae. The record is from RNAcentral.